AUAGCGUAUAGUACCGUGAGGGAAAGGUGAAAAGAACCCCGGGAGGGGAGUGAAAUAGAACCUGAAACCCUGCACUUACAAGCUGUGGAAGCACAUUUCUUGUGUGACCGCGUACUUUUUGUAGAACGGGCCAACGAGUUACGUUAAGUAGCAAGGUUAAGCACUUAAGGUGUGGAGCCGUAGCGAAAGCGAGUUUUAACUGAGCGUUCAGUUACUUGACGUAGACCCGAAACCGGGCGACCUACCCAUGAGCAGGAUGAAGCGAAAGUAAAAUUUCGUGGAGGUCCGAACCCACGAGCGUUGAAAAGCUCGGGGAUGACUUGUGGGUAGCGGUGAAAUUCCAAUCGAGCCCGGAGAUAGCUGGUUCUCCCCGAAAUAGCUUUAGGGCUAGCCUCAAGGUGAGAGAUACGGAGGUAGAGCACUGAAUGUCCUAGGGGGUAUUGCACCUACCGAAGACUAUCAAACUCCGAAUGCCGUCAUCUUAUACUUGGGAGUCAGACUGUGGGUGAUAAGAUUCAUAGUCGAAAGGGCAACAGCCCAGAUCGUCAGCUAAGGUCCCUAAAUGUAAGUUAAGUGGUAAAGGAUGUGGGAUUGCACAGACAACCAGGAUGUUGGCUUAGAAGCAGCCACUCAUUCAAAGAGUGCGUAAUAGCUCACUGGUCGAGUGAUCCUGCGCCGAAGAUUUCCGGGGCUAAAACUUACUACCGAAGCUACG
Molecule: ribosomal RNA, 715 nt
Filed under: Clostridioides sp. ZZV14-6104
Lineage: Bacteria; Bacillati; Bacillota; Clostridia; Peptostreptococcales; Peptostreptococcaceae
Description: partial 23S ribosomal RNA
Rfam family: Bacterial large subunit ribosomal RNA
Source: RNAcentral